AGUGAACGCUGGCGGUAGGCCUAACACAUGCAAGUCGAACGGCAGCACAGUAAGAGCUUGCUCUUACGGGUGGCGAGUGGCGGACGGGUGAGGAAUACAUCGGAAUCUACUUUUUCGUGGGGGAUAACGUAGGGAAACUUACGCUAAUACCGCAUACGACCUACGGGUGAAAGCAGGGGAUCUUCGGACCUUGCGCGAUUGAAUGAGCCGAUGUCGGAUUAGCUAGUUGGCGGGGUAAAGGCCCACCAAGGCGACGAUCCGUAGCUGGUCUGAGAGGAUGAUCAGCCACACUGGAACUGAGACACGGUCCAGACUCCUACGGGAGGCAGCAGUGGGGAAUAUUGGACAAUGGGCGCAAGCCUGAUCCAGCCAUACCGCGUGGGUGAAGAAGGCCUUCGGGUUGUAAAGCCCUUUUGUUAGGAAAGAAAAGCAGCAGGUUAAUACCCCGCUGUUCUGACGGUACCUAAAGAAUAAGCACCGGCUAACUUCGUG
RNAcentral lists this ribosomal RNA (492 nucleotides) under uncultured bacterium. RNAcentral describes it as "partial 16S ribosomal RNA". It matches the Rfam family "Bacterial small subunit ribosomal RNA", at positions 29 to 507 of the family's 1533-position model. The record is from RNAcentral.